Long non-coding RNA from Tympanuchus pallidicinctus (lesser prairie-chicken), 363 nucleotides. RefSeq lists it as uncharacterized. The transcript is spliced from 3 exons. NCBI's taxonomy places the organism in Eukaryota, Metazoa, Chordata, Aves, Galliformes, Phasianidae. The record is from RefSeq and is a predicted model, not a curated record.
GUAGGGGCUGGAAAGGACCUCCAGAGAUAAAAUCCAACUUCCCUGCAAGGCUCCCUACAGCAAGCUGCUCAGGAAAGCCAAGUCUGGUAGGAUGCUAACAAUACAGAAUGAGAAGGAGAUGGCCAGCGGAAUUAAAAAUGAAAUCCUGCCCACUGAAAGACACUUCCUGAUUCUGGAAAGGAAUAACACAUCCUGAAGCCAAAGGAAGAGGAUGAGCUCAGGAACAACUCUGAAGAAGGGACAGGGAUAAAUAAGGCAAAAAUCAGUGUAUGCCACAGGCAAAUCUGAAUUCAGGAGCCAACCCCCUGAAAAUUUGACAAGUUUACAGAGUUGAAGAUUACUGCGAAGUUCCUGUGAAUAUUU